This 253-nucleotide ribosomal RNA is filed under the name uncultured bacterium. Its description in RNAcentral is "partial 16S ribosomal RNA". It matches the Rfam family "Bacterial small subunit ribosomal RNA", at positions 524 to 776 of the family's 1533-position model. The record is from RNAcentral.
UACAGAGGUCUCGAGCGUUGUUCGGAUUCAUUGGGCGUAAAGGGUGCGUAGGUGGCGCCGUAAGUCGGGUGUGAAAUUUCGGAGCUUAACUCCGAAACUGCAUUCGAUACUGCCGUGCUUGAGGACUGGAGAGGAGACUGGAAUUUACGGUGUAGCGGUGAAAUGCGUAGAUAUCGUAAGGAAGACCAGUGGCGAAGGCGGGUCUCUGGACAGUUCCUGACGCUGAAGCACGAAGGCCAGGGGAGCAAACGGG